Molecule: RNA transcript, 2057 nt
Organism: Mercurialis annua (annual mercury)
Lineage: Eukaryota; Viridiplantae; Streptophyta; Magnoliopsida; Malpighiales; Euphorbiaceae
Gene name: F-box protein At5g51370-like
Exons: 3
Source: RefSeq, a predicted model, not a curated record
CUUAUAAAUUCCCAAAUGUCUGAUUCACCGGGUAGAAUUAGAAAUAGAAAUUCAAAUCCACCGAGCCCUAACCCUAACCCUAACCCUAAUUCAAAACCACCACCUCCAUUAACAAAGCGGGGCAGAACUUUAAGCUUACCGGACGUAUGGUUCAAAGAUCAAUCGCUGAAGCAUGUAGUUUGGAAAAUGCAUCUCAGAUCCUUAUCUACUACACCGUCGCCGCCUUCUUCAGAUUCUGAUUUUUCAUUAUUAGGGUUUCAAUCUCCACUUGACCCGAUUACCCGACCCGACUGCACCUCUCUCCUCUCCGACGAGCUUCUUCUUCAAGUGUUCUCUAGGCUUCCGAGUUCUCAGUAUAUAUCUAAUUCUCUUGUGUGCAAACGGUGGUUGUAUAUUCAUGGCCGUUUGGUUCAAUCUAUCAAGCUCAAUGAAUGGUCAUUUCUUAAUUCGGGUCGAAUCUUCACCCGGUUUCCGAAUCUCGUAGAGAUUGGUAUUCUCAAUGCUUGUUUCGUGACGCCGAGGAAUUCUGGUAUUGUGUUGACUCAUAAGUAUUUGUCAAUUCAUAUUGGUACUGAUUAUACAGAUUAUGGGAUGUUUAUUGAAGGAAGUCGCAUUUUGCCUUCGGAUUUUAUUGAUUGUGGACUCGAAAUGAUUGCGAAACAGUAUUCUAAUUUGAGAAGAAUUGUGGUGUUUAAUGCUAGCGAAACUGGGUUGUUGAGUAUUUCGGGGAAGUGCGAAACUUUGCAAGAAUUAGAACUGCAUUGUUGUGGGGAUUUCGCGUUGAAUGGUAUUUCGGGGUGCAGGAAUUUACAAGUAGUUAAAUUGGUUGCUUGUGUUGAUGGGUUUUAUAAUACAGUAGUUUCUGAUAUUGGAUUAACAAUUCUAGCACAGGGGUGCAGUCGGUUAGUUAAGCUUGAGCUUUGUGGAUGUGAGGGAAGUUAUGACGGGAUUAAAGCGAUAGGGCAGUGUUGCCAAAUGCUUGGGGAAUUGACUAUUUCUGAUCAUAGAAUGGAUGGUGGGUGGUUGGCUGCAUUGUCAUUCUGUGUAAAUUUGAAGACGUUGACAAUGAAGUCUUGCAAGAGCAUUGAUUCGAGUCCAGGUCUGGUUGAGCAUCUGGGUUCUUGUCCUACACUUGAAGAGUUGCAUUUGCAACAGUGUCAGAUGCGGGAUAAACCUGGGCUUAAAGCUCUCUUUUUAGUUUGUGAUGCUGUUAGGGAGAUUGUUUUUCAAAACUGCUGGGGUCUGGAGGAUGAAGUAUUUGCCACUGCAAGUGUUUGUAGGAGGGUGAAGCUUGUAUCUCUCGAAGGAUGCUCAUCGCUGACUACAGGAGGUCUUGAAGCCGUUAUUCUUAACUGGAAGGAUCUUCAAAGAUUACGAGUAAUGUCGUGCAACAAAAUAAAAGACGGUGAAGUGAGUCCGGCGCUGGCAUCUCUGUUCUCUGUCUUAAAAGAGUUGAAAUGGAGACCAGAUUCCAAAUCUCUUGUUUCCUCUAGUCUUGCUGGAACUGGAGUGGGAAAUAAAGGUGGUAGAUUUUUCAAGGGAAUGAAGGGUUAAAUUAUGGCAAGGUUGUUUCAGUCACUUCAUACAAAUCCUCCAGUGAUUAUCUUAUCUAUUUGAAAUAAUUAGUCCAUAAUAGAGGGGGAUUUGGCAGAGGUUUUAAGUUAAAGGCAGGGUUUUUUUGUCCUCCUUCUUCUUGACGUCAAUUAGAAGAUGUUUUUAGGUGAAAGAGGUGGUGCCGGUGCCGCGAAUUUGCGUAAAAGAGGCGGCGGAAAGAGCAGAGGAGCAGCUCAGAAGAUGCUCGAGAAUUACACGGACGAGACGAAUAGAUUGUGGAUUGCUCCAUCUACUGUGUUGAUCAUGAGCAUUGGCUUUAUUGCUUCCGUUGUCAUGCUUCAUGUUAUCGGCAAACUCUACUUGCAUCGCGGAGAUGCUUAAAUUUGUUGCUAAUUGUAGGAUUCUCAAGUUUUAAUUGGUUGAUUAGGAAUAUUAAGUUUUUUUUGGUUGAUUAUAUUUACAUGGAUAUUCAAUAAUGGGUAUCUUUUCUGUUUUGUUUAGUA